This 326-nucleotide ribosomal RNA is filed under the name uncultured bacterium. Its description in RNAcentral is "bacterial SSU rRNA". It matches the Rfam family "Bacterial small subunit ribosomal RNA", at positions 28 to 355 of the family's 1533-position model. The record is from RNAcentral.
AUUGAACGCUGGCGGCAUGCUUUACACAUGCAAGUCGAGCGGCAGCGCGGGGGCAACCCUGGCGGCGAGCGGCGAACGGGUGAGUAAUGCAUCGGAACGUGUCCCGUAGUGGGGGAUAACGCCGCGAAAGCGGCGCUAAUACCGCAUAUGCUCUACGGAGGAAAGUGGGGGACCUGCAAGGGCCUCACGCUAUGGGAGCGGCCGAUGUCCGAUUAGCUAGUUGGGGGGUAAUGGCCUACCAAGGCGACGAUCGGUAGCUGGUCUGAGAGGAUGAUCAGCCACACUGGGACUGAGACACGGCCCAGACUCCUACGGGAGGCAGCAGU